UUUUUGAGGGCGUCCUUCCUUAAGGACGUGCUCGUCGAUUUUUUGUUUGUGAGUCAUCUGUUCGGAUGCUUUUCAUGAAGUUUUUUGUGGAGGGUUCGAUUCUGGCUCAGGAUGAACGCUGGCGGCGUGCUUAACACAUGCAAGUCGAACGGGAUCCAUCAAGCUUGCUUGGUGGUGAGAGUGGCGAACGGGUGAGUAAUGCGUGACCGACCUGCCCCAUGCACCGGAAUAGCUCCUGGAAACGGGUGGUAAUGCCGGAUGCUCCAUCACACCGCAUGGUGUGUUGGGAAAGCCUUUGCGGCAUGGGAUGGGGUCGCGUCCUAUCAGCUUGAUGGCGGGGUAACGGCCCACCAUGGCUUCGACGGGUAGCCGGCCUGAGAGGGCGACCGGCCACAUUGGGACUGAGAUACGGCCCAGACUCCUACGGGAGGCAGCAGUGGGGAAUAUUGCACAAUGGGCGCAAGCCUGAUGCAGCGACGCCGCGUGAGGGAUGGAGGCCUUCGGGUUGUAAACCUCUUUUGUUAGGGAGCAAGGCACUUUGUGUUGAGUGUACCUUUCGAAUAAGCACCGGCUAACUACGUGCCAGCAGCCGCGGUAAUACGUAGGGUGCAAGCGUUAUCCGGAAUUAUUGGGCGUAAAGGGCUCGUAGGCGGUUCGUCGCGUCCGGUGUGAAAGUCCAUCGCUUAACGGUGGAUCCGCGCCGGGUACGGGCGGGCUUGAGUGCGGUAGGGGAGACUGGAAUUCCCGGUGUAACGGUGGAAUGUGUAGAUAUCGGGAAGAACACCAAUGGCGAAGGCAGGUCUCUGGGCCGUUACUGACGCUGAGGAGCGAAAGCGUGGGGAGCGAACAGGAUUAGAUACCCUGGUAGUCCACGCCGUAAACGGUGGAUGCUGGAUGUGGGGCCCGUUCCACGGGUUCCGUGUCGGAGCUAACGCGUUAAGCAUCCCGCCUGGGGAGUACGGCCGCAAGGCUAAAACUCAAAGAAAUUGACGGGGGCCCGCACAAGCGGCGGAGCAUGCGGAUUAAUUCGAUGCAACGCGAAGAACCUUACCUGGGCUUGACAUGUUCCCGACGACCCCAGAGAUGGGGUUUCCCUUCGGGGCGGGUUCACAGGUGGUGCAUGGUCGUCGUCAGCUCGUGUCGUGAGAUGUUGGGUUAAGUCCCGCAACGAGCGCAACCCUCGCCCCGUGUUGCCAGCGGAUUAUGCCGGGAACUCACGGGGGACCGCCGGGGUUAACUCGGAGGAAGGUGGGGAUGACGUCAGAUCAUCAUGCCCCUUACGUCCAGGGCUUCACGCAUGCUACAAUGGCCGGUACAACGGGAUGCGACAGCGCGAGCUGGAGCGGAUCCCUGAAAACCGGUCUCAGUUCGGAUCGCAGUCUGCAACUCGACUGCGUGAAGGCGGAGUCGCUAGUAAUCGCGAAUCAGCAACGUCGCGGUGAAUGCGUUCCCGGGCCUUGUACACACCGCCCGUCAAGUCAUGAAAGUGGGCAGCACCCGAAGCCGGUGGCCUAACCCCUUGCGGGAGGGAGCCGUCUAAGGUGAGGCUCGUGAUUGGGACUAAGUCGUAACAAGGUAGCCGUACCGGAAGGUGCGGCUGGAUCACCUCCUUUCU
Molecule: ribosomal RNA, 1615 nt
Filed under: Bifidobacterium breve NCFB 2258
Lineage: Bacteria; Bacillati; Actinomycetota; Actinomycetes; Bifidobacteriales; Bifidobacteriaceae
Description: bacterial SSU rRNA
Rfam family: Bacterial small subunit ribosomal RNA
Source: RNAcentral